GGCAACGUGGCCGAGCGGUCAAAGGCGAUUGACCUGAAUAAUAUUCACUUGAAACCAAUUCUCUUCGGAGGCGCAUGUUCAAAUCAUGCCGUUGUCG
This 97-nucleotide transfer RNA is filed under the name Lasiosphaeris hirsuta. It matches the Rfam family "tRNA". Rfam says of the family: Transfer RNA (tRNA) molecules are approximately 80 nucleotides in length. Their secondary structure includes four short double-helical elements and three loops (D, anti-codon, and T loops). Lineage: Eukaryota; Fungi; Ascomycota; Sordariomycetes; Sordariales; Lasiosphaeriaceae. The record is from Rfam by way of RNAcentral.